ACUAGAUCCACCUCCUAAGUUUAACAUUAGUCCAGGACCAGGAGGACCAGUCUAAACACUGUGGGAAAAAUAGCCAAGCAACUUAGCUCACACAAGGUCUCGCAGUUCUAGUUGCCUGACACGUGGUCUGCCCUACCUCUGAGCACCUAUGGUCCUCCUCCUCCAUUUGAACUUACGAGGUCAAGGGUUUGCUCACUGGAUAGAAUGAGAGGAUCUUAAACUUUGGAGCCAGAUAGAACUUACAACCUCCUUCCAGGAAGAGAAGCCUCACUUGAACUCAAACAGAGAAGUACACCUGUACCUGCAGUCGUCCCAGUCAGCUCAGGUUCAGUCAUCCUGGCCAGGCAGCAGCAUCACUCACCUGACGGAAACAGUGAAGUCUAGUGGGACCUCAUGCAGCCAGGUCUUCCGCUCAUAUUUAUACUCCACUUGCAUCAUUGUCAGAAUUCAGGCACCGGCCACACUGAGAGGCACAGAGAUAAAUGUGGUUACACUACACAGAAGGAAGGUGGAGGAAUUGUGCCAUACCAAAAAGCCAGGUCCUGGAAUGAAGAUCCAUAAAUAUUUUGUUGUAUUUUAGUGACAAUCUAACCAAAAUAAAUUCAUUCAUUUCAGCUUGACUUU
This 624-nucleotide long non-coding RNA is filed under the name Chinchilla lanigera (long-tailed chinchilla). RNAcentral describes it as "lncRNA (ENSCLAG00000027933.1)". The record is from RNAcentral. Lineage: Eukaryota; Metazoa; Chordata; Mammalia; Rodentia; Chinchillidae.